GGUGAUCGGCCACACUGGGACUGAGACACGGCCCAGACUCCUACGGGAGGCAGCAGUAGGGAAUCUUCCGCAAUGGACGAAAGUCUGACGGAGCAACGCCGCGUGAGUGAUGAAGGCUUUCGGGUCGUAAAACUCUGUUGUUAGGGAAGAACAAGUGCUAGUUGAAUAAGCUGGCACCUUGACGGUACCUAACCAGAAAGCCACGGCUAACUACGUGCCAGCAGCCGCGGUAAUACGUAGGUGGCAAGCGUUAUCCGGAAUUAUUGGGCGUAAAGCGCGCGCAGGUGGUUUCUUAAGUCUGAUGUGAAAGCCCACGGCUCAACCGUGGAGGGUCAUUGGAAACUGGGAGACUUGAGUGCAGAAGAGGAAAGUGGAAUUCCAUGUGUAGCGGUGAAAUGCGUAGAGAUAUGGAGGAAC
RNAcentral lists this ribosomal RNA (417 nucleotides) under uncultured Bacillus sp. Its description in RNAcentral is "bacterial SSU rRNA". It matches the Rfam family "Bacterial small subunit ribosomal RNA", at positions 299 to 707 of the family's 1533-position model. The record is from RNAcentral. Lineage: Bacteria; Bacillati; Bacillota; Bacilli; Caryophanales; Bacillaceae.